UUGCUCGCAGGACCGCCCGGAUCGGAUGCUCUUUCACUUGGAAUUCACUCGCAAUCGCUUUCUACUUAUCGUAACAGUUCUCCGCAACGAUCGAAGAACUCGCAGGCCGUCAUUUUUCCACACAAAACAAGACGAGAAUUGGCCGUCGUCGCACCGCUCAGCGAAUAAAAAUUUUGUGACUGAAAUUUCUGUGCAGUGGAAAUGACGUCCCGAGGAAGAGUAGGAGCAGCGACGGACGCUAGCGCAACAUAACGGGGUGUCUGCGACGAACAGUCACUUUGGUGUUGAGUGGAAGAUACAGAUGGCGGCAUUUGUUGGUUCAUAAUUGGCAGAAACCUUUGGAGCCGGAAUUUCUAACGUCACGUACGCGGUUUUCACGGUAGGCGCCGUUGCUCCGCCAGGAAGGAGCAACACACUUCGCCGCGUGUAAAAUAACACAGUGCUCCUGCCGGAGUCUUUCCUUGACCACCGACUGCUACGCAUAUUCUAGCAAUCGUCCAUCGCUAUAACUUCCAUAUCAAAGAAAUAAAGUUGUUGUAAUAAUACGACCGGUUUUAUUGUAACAGUUUAAAGGAUACUCGGAAUGGUACUUCGAGUUCUCAACACUCGCUAGUGCACAAUAAACAGUAAUUUACUCUACGAAACGUCAGAGAUUCCGAGCAGAAAAUCUUAAGGGGAGAAACCAGAUUAGGAUGUUUUCAGAAUCUACUUCAGCCUAGCUAUCCCAGAAUACGCUGCAGAAAUGUCAAAGCGAAAUUCAUGGUCCUUUAGAUUUUGCACGGUAGAAGCGAGAUAUUCUCGGGUUCAGGCUCAGGGUCUACCUCCCCGGAGGUAGUCGCUUUAUGGUAUUAGUCUGAUAACGUAAGCCGAUUUUCAUGUCUUUUUCGGGAGCGUUUUUAUUUGAAGGGAAAUAAAAAUGAAUCGUUUUGGA
Long non-coding RNA from Hermetia illucens (black soldier fly), 931 nucleotides. RefSeq lists it as uncharacterized. The record is from RefSeq and is a predicted model, not a curated record. The transcript is spliced from 2 exons. Lineage: Eukaryota; Metazoa; Arthropoda; Insecta; Diptera; Stratiomyidae.